GUGUCAGCAGCCGCGGUAAUACGGAGGGUGCAAGCGUUAAUCGGAAUUACUGGGCGUAAAGCGUGCGUAGGCGGUUCGUUAAGUCUGUUGUGAAAGCCCCGGGCUCAACCUGGGAAUGGCAAUGGAUACUGGCGAGCUAGAGUGUGUCAGAGGAUGGUGGAAUUCCCGGUGUAGCGGUGAAAUGCGUAGAGAUCGGGAGGAACAUCAGUGGCGAAGGCGGCCAUCUGGGACAACACUGACGCUGAGGCACGAAAGCGUGGGGAGCAAACAGGAUUAGAAACCCGCGUAGUCC
Molecule: ribosomal RNA, 292 nt
Filed under: uncultured bacterium
Lineage: Bacteria
Description: partial 16S ribosomal RNA
Rfam family: Bacterial small subunit ribosomal RNA
Source: RNAcentral